UUAAUUGAAGAGUUUGAUCAUGGCUCAGAUUGAACGCUGGCGGCAGGCCUAACACAUGCAAGUCGAGCGGCAGCACAGAGGAACUUGUUCCUUGGGUGGCGAGCGGCGGACGGGUGAGUAAUGCCUGGGAAAUUGCCCGGUAGAGGGGGGAUAACCAUUGGAAACGAUGGCUA
This 173-nucleotide ribosomal RNA is filed under the name Vibrio cholerae. RNAcentral describes it as "partial 16S ribosomal RNA". It matches the Rfam family "Bacterial small subunit ribosomal RNA", at positions 1 to 165 of the family's 1533-position model. RNAcentral also lists the same sequence under 1 other name. Lineage: Bacteria; Pseudomonadati; Pseudomonadota; Gammaproteobacteria; Vibrionales; Vibrionaceae. The record is from RNAcentral.